GCUCGUGGAUCGAUGAAGACCGCAGCUAAAUGCGCGUCAGAAUGUGAACACAUGAACACCGACAAGUUGAACGCAUAUUGCACACUGUACAACAGUACGAUGUACACAUUUUUGAGUGCCUAUAUUUAUCCAUUCAACUGUACGUGCGUGCGCGUCCCGCCACAGCGCUGGCGCGAGGACAGUCGCACCACGUACGCGCAGUGACGUUUUCCUGGGCCUCAGUAAAAUGUUGAAGAUAAUCAGGCGCGCCCCACCCAGGUGCGGUUGAUGAAUACAUCCCUUAGACCAACGCGCAUGGUUAUGUUGUAUUUCAUCGGCAGGCCAGCCGGCCACCGCCAACCAGUAGGCCUCAAAUAAUGUGUGACUACCCCCUAAAUUUAAGCA
Molecule: ribosomal RNA, 384 nt
Filed under: Aedes rubrithorax
Lineage: Eukaryota; Metazoa; Arthropoda; Insecta; Diptera; Culicidae
Description: eukaryotic LSU rRNA
Rfam family: 5.8S ribosomal RNA (bases 1-121)
Source: RNAcentral